This 332-nucleotide long non-coding RNA is filed under the name Olea europaea (common olive). RNAcentral's name for it is "long non-coding RNA (OEUR_LNC010627)". Lineage: Eukaryota; Viridiplantae; Streptophyta; Magnoliopsida; Lamiales; Oleaceae. The record is from RNAcentral.
AUCUUUGACCGCUAUAGCUUUGGAUAUGUAUUUAGUGAUUCGAGGGUCGACUGAAUCAUACUUCAAAUUUCUCUUCCAUAGGAUUAUUUUCUUUAACCAUCGCUAUCGUAUCACAGGGCUGCCGCUCUUAGCCCACUAAGGUAGCACCCUCGCAUAACCCCCUUGUCACAUUUUAUACGAGCUUCUCCUGCACAAGUAGGAAUUUUACACAUAAUUGGAAAAUGUAAAUUACUACAUUCAUUUUUUUCAUAUACCCUUGGAAUACUCGAGGUUCCUCGCUUAGCUUCACUGCUAGAGUAUAUCGGACCUGACCAUUUCUAGUGAAAUCUUGA